GAUGAACGCUAGCUACAGGCUUAACACAUGCAAGUCGAGGGGAAACGGCAUCGAAAGCUUGCUUUUGAUGGGCGUCGACCGGCGCACGGGUGAGUACGCGUAUCCAACCUGCCCAUCACUUGGGAAUAACCUUGCGAAAGUAAGACUAAUGCCCAAUGACAUCCCACGAAGGCAUCCGAAUGGGAUUAAAGAUUUAUCGGUGAUGGAUGGGGAUGCGUCUGAUUAGCUUGUUGGCGGGGUGACGGCCCACCAAGGCAACGAUCAGUAGGGGUUCUGAGAGGAAGGUCCCCCACAUUGGAACUGAGACACGGUCCAAACUCCUACGGGAGGCAGCAGUGAGGAAUAUUGGUCAAUGGGCGAGAGCCUGAACCAGCCAAGUAGCGUGCAGGAUGACGGCCCUAUGGGUUGUAAACUGCUUUUAUAAGGGAAUAAAGUGGGUCACGUGUGACUUUUUGCAUGUACCUUAUGAAUAAGGACCGGCUAAUUCCGUG
This 491-nucleotide ribosomal RNA is filed under the name uncultured bacterium. RNAcentral's name for it is "partial 16S ribosomal RNA". It matches the Rfam family "Bacterial small subunit ribosomal RNA", at positions 28 to 507 of the family's 1533-position model. The record is from RNAcentral.